GACGAACGCUGGCGGCGUGCUUAACACAUGCAAGUCGAACGGAAGGGCCCUGCUUUUGUGGGGUGCUCGAGUGGCGAACGGGUGAGUAACACGUGAGUAACCUGCCCUUGACUUUGGGAUAACUUCAGGAAACUGGGGCUAAUACCGGAUAGGAGCUCCUGCUGCAUGGUGGGGGUUGGAAAGUUUCGGCGGUUGGGGAUGGACUCGCGGCUUAUCAGCUUGUUGGUGGGGUAGUGGCUUACCAAGGCUUUGACGGGUAGCCGGCCUGAGAGGGUGACCGGCCACAUUGGGACUGAGAUACGGCCCAGACUCCUACGGGAGGCAGCAGUGGGGAAUAUUGCACAAUGGGCGGAAGCCUGAUGCAGCAACGCCGCGUGCGGGAUGACGGCCUUCGGGUUGUAAACCGCUUUCGCCUGUGACGAAGCGUGAGUGACGGUAAUGGGUAAAGAAGCACCGGCUAGCUACGUG
RNAcentral lists this ribosomal RNA (468 nucleotides) under uncultured bacterium. Its description in RNAcentral is "partial 16S ribosomal RNA". It matches the Rfam family "Bacterial small subunit ribosomal RNA", at positions 28 to 507 of the family's 1533-position model. The record is from RNAcentral.